This is an RNA transcript of Magnolia sinica, 1907 nucleotides long. It is a transcript of the gene named magnesium transporter MRS2-I-like, with no coding region annotated. The transcript has 8 exons. The record is from RefSeq and is a predicted model, not a curated record. NCBI's taxonomy places the organism in Eukaryota, Viridiplantae, Streptophyta, Magnoliopsida, Magnoliales, Magnoliaceae.
UGAUCAAAUAAAGAAAGUAAAAAAUGGAUGAAGAUGGUCGGGUCAUGCAGGUGGACCGUUCACCCAUUUGAAGGUGGGCCUCUCAAUCACAGCCCUUCCAAUCCACAUGAAUAGAGAUAUACCGUGAUUGAUGCUCCUGUGCUUGGUGCACAGAUAUGUGCUAUGAUUUGGCUGGCUGAUUGUAGCUGUACACGAUUGGCUCAAAUUCUUUAAUACUGAGCAGUGCUCGAGUCCGAUUCCCAGAUUUUCAGACAGGGUCCACAUGUACUUUCCAGCCAUAUCUCUAAACGCCCAACUAAUCCAUGGUCCCACGUAUGACAGAUUGGGUCGCACACUAUAUUAACUACUACAUUUAAAAUGCCGGAUGAGCUUUCUCUCCAUAGGGGUGUGUGGUCCACAAAUUCCCAAUCAAAUUGACCUGGAUGGUUGGACUAUUAAAACUUUGAAUUAAAAACAAUACUGAGUGUCAUAGCCCUAUCAUCUUCUUUCUACUUUUCUGUUUGCUAUUUUACCUUUUUAUUAUGGAAUUUUACUAAAUUAAAAUAUCUUUCUAGCUAUGCAAAUAUAUUGACAACACAGAAGAUUGCAUUAAUAUUCAAGUAAUUGUUUGUACAUGAAGAAUUCUCUCUUUUACAAUACACGUGGUUUUAUUUGGAUGGAAAUAGAUUGUUACUGCUGUUUUUUUUUUCCUUAAAAAAAUAAUUAAAUAAAGCCAUGUUAGUCAUGGUUUUUUUCCCCUCUGCCGCAGCUCGACAAUCAUCGAAAUCAACUGAUUCAGGUGAGAUUCUACAAGGACAUUGGUAAUGAACUCCCCAUGCAUUAGAUUCUUUUCUUCAGUGUGAUAUCCAAGUUCUUGCAUUUUACUGCUGACAGUAGUUGUUUAAAUUGCAAUGCACAAUUUGGGGAUAUAUUUAUCUUUUCUUCUAUUCCAUUGCAGUUAGAGAUGUUCAUUAGCUCAGGAACUGUUUGCCUCCCUAUUUAUUCAUUGGUUGCUGGGAUCUUUGGUGUGAAUCUCCCAUAUACAUGGAAUCUAAACCAUGGAUAUCUAUUUAAAUGGGAAUUGACUCUGCUUCCCAACUGCUACAUUGAGGAUAAGAUGUGGCUGCUGAAAUUCUACAUCAAGGUUGGCAUGUCUAUUUGUGUAGAGAUGACUAUGGAGGGGAUUGCAAACCUCUAAGGCCUUGUGCCUGGGUAAUUGAUUAUGGAGUUCAUAAGCUUUGGAAAUACAAUAAUGUUGGGGUAUUUCAUCUAUUACCUACCUUGUCAAUUCCAUGUUGAAUUGCCUCAUUGAGCUGCUUGUGAAAACUAUGUGGUCCUCUUCUUAGUAGACCUUUUUUUUUUUCAAAAGGAGGGGUCUCGCCCCUGUAUUUGACAAUAUGAACAGGGGAUGUACAAUCCACACACAUUCAGGUGGGCACCACAAAAAUGCCGGGCUUCACAAUCAGGUGUUCCUGCAACUUCGUUUAAAGCAAGCUGUUUCAUAUUUCUGGUGUGACCCUAUUUAAAUCAAGGGCAGGCAUCCCCUCUCACAUUGUUCCCUUGUUGUGGCCCACUUGACUGUUGGAUCAGGCAGAUUUAGAAAUGAUGGUGCCGGUAUUGGGUUUGCCGGCCGCAUAGCUAUACAGUCACUCUGUGCUCCACAAUGCUGUUUCUCUGACUUGGACAGGGAUUUGCUUUCCUUUAUCAGAUCUCUCAAGGGUAUGAUACAAUCUACCAAUGCAGUUGCGAUGAUUACUUUCCCUCCAUCUGUUCUGUCACCUUCCUUCUCUAAGAGAUGGCAGCAUUUGGCGGAUACUCUGCUCUCUGUCAGGGCGAUCCCAGAUGAGGACAAAGAGAUGGCGAAACUCCUCACAGGUUAUCAGGACAUGGUUGGCCUUCUGCAUGUCCAUAAAGUGGCUCAGAUUAAU